RNAcentral lists this ribosomal RNA (186 nucleotides) under Candidatus Omnitrophota bacterium. Its description in RNAcentral is "partial 23S ribosomal RNA". It matches the Rfam family "Bacterial large subunit ribosomal RNA", at positions 2743 to 2925 of the family's 2925-position model. Lineage: Bacteria; Pseudomonadati; Candidatus Omnitrophota. The record is from RNAcentral.
GGGUAGCUACGUUCGGAAUGGAUAAGCGCUGAAAGCAUCUAAGCGCGAAGCCACCCCCAAGAUAAGAUAUCCCUCCCCGAAAGGGGACUAAAGAUUCCAGGAAGACUACCUGGUUGAUAGGCCAGAUGUGUAAGCCCAGUAAUGGGUUGAGCUAACUGGUACUAAUCAAUCGUGCGGCUUGACCAU